Molecule: long non-coding RNA, 1075 nt
Organism: Oreochromis aureus
Lineage: Eukaryota; Metazoa; Chordata; Actinopteri; Cichliformes; Cichlidae
Source: Ensembl
CAAGGAAAGUCUUUUGUCAUACACAUGCUCAAUGCAGCAAUAGAGACAGAGGAAUAAGAUAUAUAUUAUAUACAAUAGGAAUAGUGCAUACAGUAAUAUGCAGUAGGAUAGUACAAAAUAUAAUAUCAAAUAACCCCAACGAAGUAACAAUGUAACUAUAUCCUGAAAAAUAAAAUAACUUAACUAUCAGUGCAGGUGACUCUAAAAAGUGACAUAGUAUUAUGCAACUAAAUAAAAGAGAGUAGCAGCAUAUGAUGGGGAGAUGAAACAAACAUUCAAUAAAAUACUGUUGGGUGAUAUUGCACGGUCUAAAUGGGAACAGAAUAACGUUGGUAGUAAUCCUCAGGAAAAUCCCCUACAGAGCGAGGAAGAGUUGUACAGUCUUAUUGCCACUGGCAUGAAGGAUUUCCUGUGGCGGUCAGUUCUGCAUUUCGGGGCGAUUAGUCUUUUGCUGCGUGUGCUCCGAUGGUCCAUCACGGAGGCAUGCAUGGGAUGGCAGAGGUUGUCCAUAACACAAAGAAGCUUCUUUAGCAUUCUCCUCUCGGACACCUCCAGGUUCUCCAGUCUGACACCCAGGAUAGAACCAGCCUUUUAGAUCAGCUUGUUCAGCCUGUUGGCAUCAGCUGUCUUCACCCCACUGCCCCAGCACACAGCUGCAAAGAACGCUUUCUACCACAGCGUGAUAGAACAUGGUCAGCAUUUUCCUACCAACAUUGAAGAACCUGAGCCACCUCAUUAGGAAAAGCCAACUCUGCCCUUUUUUGAAGACAGCAGUUGUCGUGGUCCUGAGUCUGUGGACCCAGUGGUGGACUUUUAGGUUUUGAUUAUUAUCUUAUGUUUUAGGUUCAUUCUUGUUGGGAAUUUCUUGUUCUCAGGUUUUGAUUAUUAUCUUAUGUUUUAGGUUCAUUCUUGUUGGGAAUUUCUUGUUCUCAGGUUUUGUUUCUGUUUUGUAUUUCAAGCUCCUUUUGUUCUGUGUCCCUGUGCCUGCCCUGGUCCCACGUCUUUAUGUUCCCUCCCUGUCGCCAUGUCUUGUGUUAAGUUCAUGUCUGUGCAAACCUGUUGUAUUUCCUGUUUU